AGGGGUUUGAGUCAGUAACACAGCCCAUACAGAGGAGAGCAAACCCGCUGAUGCUUAAUGCCCCUGCCAUGGCAGUGUCUACAGGGAACAAGGGGGGCCACUAGCCACAGUAGUUCUACCCGUUGAGGGUCAUCCCACUACUUUCCUGGUUGACACAGGUGCAGCCCGCAGUGUUCUUAGAGAACAAGACCUGCCUGACUCAUCGUUCCUGUCUGAC
Molecule: non-coding RNA, 217 nt
Organism: Pelobates cultripes (western spadefoot toad)
Lineage: Eukaryota; Metazoa; Chordata; Amphibia; Anura; Pelobatidae
Source: the annotation of a GenBank genome assembly